Helianthus annuus (common sunflower) is the source of this 958-nucleotide long non-coding RNA. RefSeq lists it as uncharacterized. NCBI's taxonomy places the organism in Eukaryota, Viridiplantae, Streptophyta, Magnoliopsida, Asterales, Asteraceae. The record is from RefSeq and is a predicted model, not a curated record. The transcript is spliced from 2 exons.
UUCACUUUCAGUAUUCCUUCUCUUCUGUUCACCACCCUCUUAUUUAUUCCUUCUCUUCAAUUUUUAAAACUUUGUCUCAAACCUAAACCACCGCCUCCUCCUUCUUCUACAAACCACACCACACCACACCAAUGCUCCUCUACAAGCCCAUACUCACUACCCCUUUUAUUGAUUUCCAAAACCAUAGAAAAUUCAAUCAUAUCUUUAUAUUUACGGGAGCUAACGAAGACAAUUAUGACGUUUUUCUAAGCUUUAAUUAUAUGCAAAGCGUUGGAGUCAAAGGCUUCCCAAUACUCAGAAGCAGAAUUUGCACAUGGGUCUGGGCACAUUGAUCCUUUAAAGGCCAUAGAUCCGGGACUUGUCUAUGAAAAUUCUGUCCAAGAGUAUUUUAAGAUAUGAUGCAACAUAUCUCAAACCCCAGGAAGUAUGAUCCACAAAAAUGCUAGUUGCCCUAUGAAGUUGGCUACCAAAGAGAUAAAUUACCCUUCUAUGGCAGUCCAAGUAGUAGCGGGGGAGUCAUUUGUGGUGUCUUUCCCUAGAAGCGUGACCAACGUCGGUCGAGCCAAUUCAACAUAUGUUGCACGUAUAGAAGGAGACCGCUCAAAGUUGCACGUUAGUGUAGAGCCCAACACAUUGCAAUUCACAACAGUGAACCAAAAGAUGAAAUUUGUGUUAACACUCACAGUCACAGGGAACAAAAUGAAGCACUCUACACCAAAACGCAUGUCACUCGUGUGGACUGAUGUUGUUCACAGAGUCCAAAGUCCUAUCGUGAUUUACAAGUACAACAUCCUAUGGAGAAGGGGCGAUUUUUAGAGCGUCCGGUGGAGAAGGAGCAUCGACACUAUCAAAGCUUUAUAUAGCAUUUAUUAUUAUCAUUAUGGUAAUAUAACUUUGUAUUAGGACCUACAACUUUGUUUUCUCAUUAUAAUAUAAUAAAAAAUAGUUCUUAUUGUCA